RNAcentral lists this long non-coding RNA (854 nucleotides) under Cricetulus griseus (Chinese hamster). RNAcentral's name for it is "lncRNA (ENSCGRG00000025976.1)". The record is from RNAcentral. Lineage: Eukaryota; Metazoa; Chordata; Mammalia; Rodentia; Cricetidae.
CUGCUUGGUCUGCACUGAGUGCAACUGGAUCGAUCCAACUCUGACUGCUGUGUCGUGACUUCCCUCUCGAGUGCAUGCCCUUCUUUUACUCCACUGAGCUAACACCUACUUGUCCUCACUAACUAGGCCCACACAGCACUUCCUGCAAGAAGUCUUACCCAGUCCCCUGCUGUGCUCCUAGGAAAUCCUGGGCAACACAGAGCACAGAUCAUUGUGCUUGGCAGCCUGAUGACUCUCUGAUACUUGACUUCGUGGACCCAACUCCUGCAUGGUGUUUGACAGUAGGUCAACACAGAGAGGCUCCAGUGUGUGUGGCAAUAAAGCUUUGACUGCUGCACUCCACAGGACUGGGGUGAGGAGAGCUCAGCUUGACAAAGUAGGGCAGUGUGGAGAGGAGGCCCAAGCAGGGGACCCAUUCCAGAAAGCGUAUCUCCAGCAUCCUCAGGGUAGCCAUACCAGAGAAUCCUUCCCUGGUUUGAAAGGCCCUUUGAGUGUUGGCAGAGAAAGGAGCCCUCUGGAAUUGUCGCUUUUCCCCCGGCCUGCCAUUCACCCAGAAUCCCCAUUCUUGUGGGGUCUUGAAAGGUACUUCUCUACCAGGGAAGCCUCACCCUUCUCAGCUGCCUCGGUCCACCCCCUGCAUCUGGACUGACCUCUCUCCUCUGCUGCCCAGACAGCCAGCCACUUGUAUCUUUCCAACAGUUUUGUGCUCUGGUCUUCCGGGGAGCGAGGAAAAAUACCACCUUGCUAAGUGAUGAGCUGCCUGCUGCACUUUCCCCUUGGAUUCUAAGAACCGUUCAGGCCCUGAUGGGAGAGGAGGAAAGUGGGUAGAGUCACCUGCUCAGCUUCAGACUGAG